This 465-nucleotide ribosomal RNA is filed under the name uncultured bacterium. RNAcentral's name for it is "partial 16S ribosomal RNA". It matches the Rfam family "Bacterial small subunit ribosomal RNA", at positions 28 to 507 of the family's 1533-position model. The record is from RNAcentral.
GACGAACGCUGGCGGCGUGCUUAACACAUGCAAGUCGAACGGAAAGGCCCUUGCUUGCUGGGGUACUCGAGUGGCGAACGGGUGAGUAACACGUGGGUGAUCUGCCCUGCACUUCGGGAUAAGCCUGGGAAACUGGGGCUAAUACCGGAUAGGAGCUCCUUUUGGAUGGUGUGGUGGAGAGUUUUUCGGUGGGGGAUGAGCUCGCGGCCUAUCAGCUUGUUGGUGGGGUAAUGGCCUACCAAGGCGUCGACGGGUAGCCGGCCUGAGAGGGUGUACGGCCACAUUGGGACUGAGAUACGGCCCAGACUCCUACGGGAGGCAGCAGUGGGGAAUAUUGCACAAUGGGCGGAAGCCUGAUGCAGCGACGCCGCGUGGGGGAUGACGGCCUUCGGGUUGUAAACUCCUUUCGCUAGGGACGAAGCGCAAGUGACGGUACCUGGAGAAGAAGCACCGGCUAACUACGUG